The submitters of this non-coding RNA (61 nucleotides) gave its source as unclassified sequences. The record is from Rfam.
AUAAUGAUACUUCCGCCCAACGCGGCCCGGUCGGAGAGACGGGGAGAUGAGACUUCUAUGU